Molecule: ribosomal RNA, 243 nt
Filed under: uncultured bacterium
Lineage: Bacteria
Description: partial 16S ribosomal RNA
Rfam family: Bacterial small subunit ribosomal RNA
Source: RNAcentral
UACGGGGGAGCAAGCGUUGUUCGGAUUUACUGGGCGUAAAGGGCGCGUAGGCGGCCACCGCAAGGUCAAUUGUGAAAUCUCCGGGCUUAACUCGGAAAGGUCAACUGAUACUGCGGGGCUAGAGUGCGGAAGGGGCAACUGGAAUUCUCGGUGUAGCGGUGAAAUGCGUAGAUAUCGAGAGGAACACCUGCGGCGAAGGCGGGUUGCUGGGCCGACACUGACGCUGAUGCGCGAAAGCCCAGG